UCGGUACUCCCUCUUCUCCAUUAUUCCCUCAUCCAUCACAUUUGGAGGAAAAAUCCCUAGUCGAUAAAAGAGAACGGCGGUGCCUCUUCUUUCACUCUCCUCCGGCGAAUCCACGCCGGAGUGGCCUCUCUUUUCCACAAAUCGGGUUCCCUCUCAGCUCACUCUCAUUCUCUUCCUUUUUCGGCGGAAUCGCCGUUCCGAUUUGGUAAAGCUCCGCCGGCGCCUGCCUCCUCUGAAAUCUAGAUCGGGGAGCCGAAGCUCUAUCCGGUCAGGGACGGCGCCCCUGUUUCUUUGCCUCCGAAGGCAGCAGCUCCUCUCCCGUCGCCGACUGGUUUCGCCUCGCGCCGCUGCUCCGGCGGCGUCGCCACCCCCUCGAGCUUAAUCUAAGUCUCUUUCCCCUUAGCCCCUUUUGUUUCUUCGUUUAGUGAUCAGCUCUUAUGCUUAUUCUUGUUUGCUAAGUACUUACUGAGGAAUUAGCCUCUAAUUGGUGAUGUUGAAUCCCAUCUGUGCAGAGAGCUACUUUAUUGUUUUAGUCUCGUUUUAGAUGUGAUACUACUGCCCGUGUGUUAUAUAAACGAUUUGGUUGUGUGUCUGGGGCAGCAUUUGAUGGUGUUAGAACUUACUGUCGAUUUUUGCUAUUCUAAGUGAUCAUGCUUCUAAAGGGGCUGAUUUUCUUUAUAGGCAAUUUGGUGUACUUUGUGUCAUUAAAGGGGCUGAUUUUCUUUUGUCUUCAUGUCAUAACAUAUCUCCUUUUGCACUUGUACCUCUUCACUUUUAAUUAAGGAAAUUUUGGUGUUAUGCUUAUGGGGAGUACUUCUUGAUUUAUGGUAAUUGUUUUGUGGUGGCAGAUGGUCCCAGGAGGGAGUGCAGAUUGACUGCACAAGGGAAACGUGCAGGCUCGACUUGCUCAUUGAGGCUAGUCUUUAGUCUCUUGUUAGAAAAGAGGUGGAGCAAGACUUGGACUGCUAUGUUGUUCCCGGCCCGGCCCGCUGCUCUCGGCAGUCAACUCGUUCGGGCCCGACCCGUAGAGGGUGCGAUUUCGGUCAUUUCGAGGAGGGCCCAAAAUGCAUGUUUUGCAUUCUUAACAUCCCCCUCAUCAAUUCAUGUGUAGAAUAUUUCUUGUAAUUAGAUGGUAGCUUGUUAUGUAUGUAAAAAGAUAUUCGAACACUUUUUGUCUGAAGUAAACCCUUUGUUCCUUUUUGUAAUUAUAUCGAAGUCGUUUUGGUUC
Molecule: long non-coding RNA, 1228 nt
Organism: Salvia splendens (bonfire salvia)
Lineage: Eukaryota; Viridiplantae; Streptophyta; Magnoliopsida; Lamiales; Lamiaceae
Exons: 2
Source: RefSeq, a predicted model, not a curated record